Molecule: ribosomal RNA, 651 nt
Filed under: Triticum aestivum (bread wheat)
Lineage: Eukaryota; Viridiplantae; Streptophyta; Magnoliopsida; Poales; Poaceae
Description: partial small subunit ribosomal RNA
Source: RNAcentral
AUGUACAGUACAGGAGGAAAAGCAAGGCAUACAUACGUGCAGGUGCAGCAACCGCCUGGAAGCAACAAUCAAUCAUUCAUAGGCGUACUACAGAUCGACACGAUGGAAUCACAUACAUACACACAUACGUACGAGGUAUGGAUCGGAGAACCGAUCAUUCCAUCAAGCCUUCCACAUGUCCUGGAAGGUGGAGUGGAAGCUGGCGAGGACGAGGAGGAGGAGGACGACCAUGGCGACGCCCCAGGGGGAGCUGCCCUCGGAGGGCGCGGCCGGGUAGCCCCGCCAGCGGCUCUCGGUGGGGUAGAAGCCGAAGUAGCCCUCGAAGGUGUCGACGGAGGAGAUCCAGCGGAUGAGGAGGACGAGCGCGAUGGGCACGCCCAGCAGGAACCAGCUGAACUGCUCCGACGCCUCCUCCAUGAACUCCUCGUAGGAGAAGAACCACGACGCCCCCAGCAGCAGCGUCACCAUCAUCAGGAUCAGGAUCACCGGGUACGGCAGCGGCGACAGCGUGAACGCCUCCAGCACCGACGACUCCCCGCGCCGGUCGUAGUACGACAUGGCUGCCUCGCUGCUUCUUUGUGCUGCCUCGCCUGGCGUGCGUUUGCUUGGCCUGCGAGGUGGGGAAAGUGGAAGGGAGAGGUGGGGGGAUAG